UGCUGUGAAGCAAUGUUUGUAAACACGGCUCACAAUAAAGGUCAAACUAUGUCGACUUCGUCAGCGUGCACCAGGCUAAUAGAAUUGUUACCUCUUUAAUUCUAGUAUCUUUAGUCAUUACCGUCAAACAAAACAUUGGGUAGUACGCAUCAUGAAAUUUGUCAUUGCAAUGUAUUUUGUUUAGGAAAUCUAUCUGUAUUUUGCUUAGGAGAUUUAUUUUGCUAUAAAGCGAAUUAUGAAUUUAAUUAAAUUUAAGUUGCAAAUCUAGAUUAAAGUAAAAUUACAAAUCUUCUAUUCACGAAAAUGCAUUUAGGAUCACUUAAGGAGUAUAGGAGAUAUUGGGAAUCACCGUUAUUGUUAACUAAAGCAAAAAGGCCGUCAUUUAAUGUAACGAGAAGAGGAUCAUAAAAAUAUGGAAAGGAUCGAAAUGUGAUAUAAUCUUUCUGCAAACUAGAAAGGCCCGGAUGCUAGUAACGUGAGUCGUAGGUUAUGUAAUGAUAAAGCCAACAUUAAAAACUAUUUGGAAUUAGGAAAAUGUGGCACACGUGGCGGUAUUGCAAGAUGAGGGUGUUAGGCGUUUUGAAGUUUAAUGAAGCUUGUGAAAUGCGAUUAGUGCAUGUGAUUGGCUUUAUAAUUAUAAUUGAAUAAAAGUAAUC
This is a long non-coding RNA of Topomyia yanbarensis, 656 nucleotides long. RefSeq lists it as uncharacterized. The record is from RefSeq and is a predicted model, not a curated record. Lineage: Eukaryota; Metazoa; Arthropoda; Insecta; Diptera; Culicidae. The transcript has 3 exons.